ACUGGGCACCAUAGCACAUGCCUGUAGUUCCAGCUACUCGGGAGGCUGAGAUAGGAGGAUUGCUUGAGUCCAGGAGUUCUGGCCUGUAGUCUGCUAAACCGAUCAGGUGUCCGCACUAAGUUUGGCAUCAAUAUGGUGACCUCUGGGAGCGAGGGACCACCAGGUUGCCUAAGGAGGGGUGAACCGGCCCAGGUCAGAAAUGGAACAGGUCCAAACUCCCAUGCUGAUCAAGGAAAAAAGGCAGGAUUUUCUUAUUUUUGAAGGUUGCCCUAUGAAUCAGCACUUAA
This is an unclassified non-coding RNA of Cricetulus griseus (Chinese hamster), 287 nucleotides long. It matches the Rfam family "Metazoan signal recognition particle RNA". Rfam says of the family: The signal recognition particle (SRP) is a universally conserved ribonucleoprotein. It is involved in the co-translational targeting of proteins to membranes. The record is from Ensembl. Lineage: Eukaryota; Metazoa; Chordata; Mammalia; Rodentia; Cricetidae.